This 253-nucleotide ribosomal RNA is filed under the name uncultured bacterium. RNAcentral's name for it is "partial 16S ribosomal RNA". It matches the Rfam family "Bacterial small subunit ribosomal RNA", at positions 524 to 776 of the family's 1533-position model. The record is from RNAcentral.
UACGUAGGUGGCAAGCGUUGUCCGGAUUUAUUGGGUUUAAAGGGUGCGUAGGCGGUUCAUUAAGUCAGUGGUGAAAUACGGCAGCUUAACUGUCGAGGUGCCAUUGAUACUGGUGAACUUGAGUACUGAUGAGGUAGGCGGAAUGGACGGUGUAGCGGUGAAAUGCUUAGAGAUCGUCCAGAACACCGAUAGCGAAGGCAGCUUACUAAGGAGUAACUGACGCUGAGGCACGAAAGUGUGGGGAUCAAACAGG